Molecule: ribosomal RNA, 373 nt
Filed under: uncultured bacterium
Lineage: Bacteria
Description: bacterial SSU rRNA
Rfam family: Bacterial small subunit ribosomal RNA
Source: RNAcentral
AUACGGAGGAUCCGAGCGUUAUCCGGAUUUAUUGGGUUUAAAGGGUGCGUAGGCGGCCAUUUAAGUCAGGGGUGAAAUACGGCAGCUCAACUGUCGCAGUGCCUUUGAUACUGAGUGGCUUGAAUACCGUUGAAGAUGGCGGAAUGAGACAAGUAGCGGUGAAAUGCAUAGAUAUGUCUCAGAACACCGAUUGCGAAGGCAGCUGUCUAAGCGGUCAUUGACGCUGAUGCACGAAAGCGUGGGGAUCAAACAGGAUUAGAUACCCUGGUAGUCCACGCCCUAAACGAUGAUAACUCGAUGUUAGCGAUAUACAGUUAGCGUCUUAGCGAAAGCGUUAAGUUAUCCACCUGGGGAGUACGCCCGCAAGGGUGAA